GAAGCCGCGGCCGCGCCCUCCUGGCCACUCCCCGGCCGGCGGUGGGUGGCGCGCACUCGCAUAUGUCCUCCGCGCCACCGCGAUCGCCCACCCCGAGGGCCCCCAAGAUGAAGAAGGACGAGUCUUUCCUGGGCAAGUUGGGUGGCACGCUGGCGAGGAAGAAGAGGACCAGGGAAGUCAUUGGACACCAGUGACUGCUGACAGACGGUUGGCCAGCUGCAGGGAUGUGAGAGAGAGGAAAAGUGUCAGCCUUGGCCUCCUGAAGAGGGCAGCAGAAGACUCACACUAGGCCUGGAUUGAGCAUCUGAGACCUCAAAGCCAGUCCUCAGGAACACUUCCUCCAACAAAGUCACACUCCUAAUGAGCUUCUGGGGGAGCAUUUUCUUUCAAACCACCACACCUCCCACUCUGCCCAUUGGAUGGAGAAGAAAUGCCAGAAGAGAGGAAAAGGCUGGUCAUUGGAGAGAAGCAAUAAAAACACAACAGGACAAACCA
Molecule: non-coding RNA, 495 nt
Organism: Cricetulus griseus (Chinese hamster)
Lineage: Eukaryota; Metazoa; Chordata; Mammalia; Rodentia; Cricetidae
Source: RefSeq, a predicted model, not a curated record